RNAcentral lists this long non-coding RNA (259 nucleotides) under Salvia miltiorrhiza (redroot sage). Its description in RNAcentral is "long non-coding RNA (SMIL_LNC012639)". The record is from RNAcentral. Lineage: Eukaryota; Viridiplantae; Streptophyta; Magnoliopsida; Lamiales; Lamiaceae.
AAACUAUAACUCUUUUAUAUAAAUAAGUGGAUUAAUAUAAUUUGAAAAAAAGAAAAAAAAAUACCUUCAAAUAUGUUGAUCGAAUGAGUUGACUCUACUAUCUAAAUGACAUCGUUAUACUAUAAUGGUGGACAAUUUUACAUUAAAUAUUCAUAUUCACAAAUAUUUUUGCAUGUAAUAUAGCACUAAAAAAAACACAAACAAAAGAUUGACCCUUUCAUAACUGAAAAAACUAACUUUCUGAAAAUCAGCUCCUCCC